GAACGCUGGCGGCAUGCCUACACAUGCAAGUCGAACGAGACCUUCGGGUCUAGUGGCGCACGGGUGCGUAACGCGUGGGGAUCUGCCCUUUGCUUCGGAAUAACAGUUAGAAAUGACUGCUAAUACCGGAUGAUGUCGUAAGACCAAAGAUUUAUCGGCAAAGGAUGAACCCGCGUAGGAUUAGCUAGUUGGUGGGUAAAGGCCUACCAAGGCGACGAUCCUUAGCUGGUCUGAGAGGAUGAUCAGCCACACUGGGACUGAGACACGGCCCAGACUCCUACGGGAGGCAGCAGUGGGGAAUAUUGGACAAUGGGCGAAAGCCUGAUCCAGCAAUGCCGCGUGAGUGAUGAAGGCCUUCGGGUUGUAAAGCUCUUUUACCAGGGAUGAUAAUGACAGUACCUGGGAGAAUAAGCUCCGGCUAACUCCGUG
RNAcentral lists this ribosomal RNA (429 nucleotides) under uncultured bacterium. RNAcentral's name for it is "bacterial SSU rRNA". It matches the Rfam family "Bacterial small subunit ribosomal RNA", at positions 31 to 507 of the family's 1533-position model. The record is from RNAcentral.